UAGGGAAUCUUCCGCAAUGGACGCAAGUCUGACGGAGCAACGCCGCGUGAGUGAAGAAGGAUUUCGGUUCGUAAAACUCUGUUGUUAGAGAAGAACAGCGCAUAGAGUAACUGUUAUGCGUGUGACGGUAUCUAACCAGAAAGCCACGGCUAACUACGUGCCAGCAGCCGCGGUAAUACGUAGGUGGCAAGCGUUGUCCGGAUUUAUUGGGCGUAAAGCUAGCGCAGGCGGUCAAUUAAGUCUGAUGUGAAAGCCCCCGGCUCAACCGGGGAGGGUCAUUGGAAACUGGUUGACUUGAGUGCAGAAGAGGAGAGUGGAAUUCCAUGUGUAGCGGUGAAAUGCGUAGAUAUAUGGAGGAACACCAGUGGCGAAGGCGACUCUCUGGUCUGUAACUGACGCUGAGGCUCGAAAGCGUGGGUAGCAAACAGG
This 429-nucleotide ribosomal RNA is filed under the name Bacteroidota bacterium. Its description in RNAcentral is "Bacteroidetes bacterium partial 16S ribosomal RNA". It matches the Rfam family "Bacterial small subunit ribosomal RNA", at positions 355 to 776 of the family's 1533-position model. Lineage: Bacteria; Pseudomonadati; Bacteroidota. The record is from RNAcentral.